Molecule: ribosomal RNA, 471 nt
Filed under: uncultured bacterium
Lineage: Bacteria
Description: partial 16S ribosomal RNA
Rfam family: Bacterial small subunit ribosomal RNA
Source: RNAcentral
GACGAACGCUGGCGGCGUGCUUAGCACAUGCAAGUCGAACGAUGAAGCCUAGCUUGCUAGGUGGAUUAGUGGCGAACGGGUGAGUAAUACGUGAGUAACCUACCUUUAACUCUGGGAUAAGCCCGGGAAACUGGGUCUAAUACCGGAUACGACCAAUCUCCGCAUGGGGUGUUGGUGGAAAGCGUUAUGUAGUGGUUAUAGAUGGGCUCACGGCCUAUCAGCUUGUUGGUGAGGUAACGGCUCACCAAGGCGACGACGGGUAGCCGGCCUGAGAGGGUGACCGGCCACACUGGGACUGAGACACGGCCCAGACUCCUACGGGAGGCAGCAGUGGGGAAUAUUGCACAAUGGGCGCAAGCCUGAUGCAGCGACGCCGCGUGAGGGAUGACGGCCUUCGGGUUGUAAACCUCUGUUAGCAGGGAAGAAGAGAGAUUGACGGUACCUGCAGAGAAAGCGCCGGCUAACUACGUG